Salvia miltiorrhiza (redroot sage) is the source of this 781-nucleotide long non-coding RNA. RefSeq lists it as uncharacterized. The record is from RefSeq and is a predicted model, not a curated record. Lineage: Eukaryota; Viridiplantae; Streptophyta; Magnoliopsida; Lamiales; Lamiaceae. The transcript has 2 exons.
ACUUAAACUUAAUUAAAAAUCUCAAUUAACAAUAAAAAUCUCUCAUUCUCUCCUUCUCUCCUUUACGCACACGACACUCACACCUCUUCUCUCUCACCAAAUCUGCCAUCGUGGUUCCUCCUCCGGCGAGCAGCUAGGUCGUCGUCGCCGCCUCACUGAUUUCGCCGCCUCGCUCUCCCUGAGCUCGAAACCCUAAGACGCUGUCUCCCAAAAUUCAUCGUCUUCCUCUGAGCUCGAAUCCCCGUCCACUGCCAGUGCUCCGACCGGUCUCGAUUCUCUCAAAGCACCACGGGAACUCGCUCUUGCCCUACCUCUCGCCGUUGUCCGCGACUCCGGCUCCACCUAUGCUCUGCCUGCGUGAGUAGCCUCAAGGCGAAGCUAGCGUGUCUCGAUUUGUUACAGGCAGCAGUACAGAGCUAGGAGGAGCUCCCCGUCGUCCCCCUGCUCAUCACCAAAUGUUGAGCUUGUGAAGAUCACACAAGACAUGAAGUCAUUCAAGGCAUACGACAAGCUGCGUCUGGAGCGAACGAAUGCACGCCACGUUGGUGUUAGAGCCAAGAGGGCAGCCGAAGCUGAGAAGGAAGACAAGAAGUAGGUACAAGUGAAGUGAUUGUGAGUUUGUGAUUCAGCAAACUGUUUAAUCUGUUUUGCUUUGGGGCUGGACCGAUUAUCUUGAUUUUGGUUGAAAUUUUCUUAGUAUUUUCAGCUCUUUGUAUUGAAUUAUCUGAGACAGCAAAUCUUUUUAUCGUUUUGUCAUUGAUGAACUUACUAUAUUUCAAUA